This 2541-nucleotide long non-coding RNA is filed under the name Coffea arabica (coffee). RNAcentral describes it as "long non-coding RNA (CARA_LNC003414)". Lineage: Eukaryota; Viridiplantae; Streptophyta; Magnoliopsida; Gentianales; Rubiaceae. The record is from RNAcentral.
GAUCAUUUGCUUGAUUAGAUUAGGGAUAACCCCUUGAAUAUGGGAUAUGGACGAGUUUGGCUUCUCUAGCCUUAGCACGCUCGUAUUUCCUCUAUUAAAGGGAAAAUUGAGUCACGAACAUUAGUCCCCCGUACCCGACAUGAUGCACUCCUUUAAGACAUGUAACUUUUGUAUAAUUAUUUUAUUUCUUUUCUUAGAGUCUCAUAUUUUUGCAUUAUUCGUGACUUUUUCGAAGAGUUCACAUUGGGCAUCACAAUUAAUGUGAUUGACAUCAAUUGAGCUUUGAAGAGAAAUUUCGACCCCCGAUACCCUCUUAGGUUUAGGGUUUGCAUUCAUAUAGUACAUCUAAAUGUGAUAAAUCUUUAGGUUAAAAUAAGAAAAUCUUUUGACUAAAUCGCGCAACUAGCCUUGGUUAGGUUGAAAGAGUGCCUUGGAUUCUUAUCCUUGCCUUCCCUUUCUUCAAAUGUGACUCCCGAAUCUUUUUCUCUGAUUUUCGUAGACUUGGAGUCGUUUAAAAAGGGGUUUUUCUACUUUUUUUCUUUAAAAAUUUAUUUUUUAGGUGACUUUGUACACCUUAACUCUAUACCAAGUGGCGACUCCAUUUUUCAUUCAAAAAAAUCCUUUUUAAACUAUAUUUGGGUCAAAUCGUCGCAUUUUCAAGUCCCAUUUAGACCCAUAUUUUUCUUCAUUUUCUUUGUAAAUCAAAAUUCAUUUUUCAACUAAAAAAUUCACUUUUUUAAACCAUUUAUUUGUUUUUAUUAAAAAUGGGGCGCGACAGUGAGGAAGAGAGCAGGAAUGGGAAGAGCUUCGGGUGGGCUGGAUAGGAAACCAGAGAAAGAAAUAAAAGGGACAACAGAGUAAUUAGAGUGGCGGCUAGGAUUAGAGAAAAAAGAGCAAGAGAGAUUGAGAGAGCUACGGGAACAAGAGAUGCCAAGGGAAGAAAAGCAAGAGGGGCGGCUGAGGGGAGAAAAGAAGAGAGGAAAAGAGCAACAGAGGGAGUGAGAGGAAGGAACCGAGAGAUCCGAGAAAGAACGAAGGAAAGAGAAGAAGGAAGAACUGAGGUUGAAACCCUAGAUUCAAGUCUCUUCAUCGAAGUUUACGGUUGAUUUCUGCAUCAAACCCAAGCUGAGGGUUCGGAUCCAAAGGGGGUAAAAUAGGUAGUCUUCAACCCUUUUCUGCUCAUUCGUCUCAAUCCCAAACUGAAAACUGGUGAUUUUCUUGUCUGUUAGUUUUUGCUAAAACCAAAUCUGCGUUUUUAGGAUGGUUUAGGUUGUAUUUGUGCUGAUUUCCUUUAGUCGAGCAAGGUUAAUGUUUUGUUUUUUGUUAAUCUGCUUCUUCGUUAGAAAGCCAAGUCAUAAUGGUUUGCUGUGUCUUGAAUGGUUUGCACUAGCUAUCGGUGAGAUUGUUAAAGUGUCUAAGCAUCAGAAAAGCUUCAGAAAAUAGCCAAAGUUUGCAUAUUUUUCUUCGGAUUUUCUGGGUUCAAAUCUAGGGUUUCAUGUUGAAAAGAAUGCAGAAUGUUUGAUGAUUCUGUUGUCGGGUUUUAGAUUGCGUGUGGCUGAGAUUUGAUGCAUAAAAUCUGCUGCAACAAGCUCGAAGCUCUCGACUUGUUGCAGCAGCGUGGACAGAUCCUUUCUCUUUCUUUGGAUUGCUGAAGUUUUGGCUUGCUUAAAAUGCUUAAUUUGUUUGCUGUUUGGCUGAGAUGUCAUGGGCAUGCUUGAGAGCUUAGUGGUAAAGGCCAUCAGUGUUCAUCAUCUUGUUUUGGGUUUGUUUUUUUUCUUGGAAGUUUGAUUCGAAGUUUCAGCAAAUGACCAUAGCACUCUGUUGCUGCGUUUUUACCUUCCUCUCUCCCUUGUCCCAAGUUCAUGCCUUUGAGUUGAGUUGCCGAAUCUUGUCUUUCGAUGCUUGCAUGAGAAAAUGUUCGGUCCUCGUAGUUAUGCAUGCUUGCUGUCUUUCGUUGUUCCUUUUUCUUUCUUCCUGUUUUUACUUGCUCAAAAGUUGCUCUCAUGUCUCUCCGUGGAGCUGUGUCGACAUUGCUCAGAGUUUUGUUUUGGAGAGAUUUUGGUGUAGUUUGUUUCAUAAAGUAAGAUUUUAACGGCUGUUUUCCUUUUCAUGAUGCAAAACACGUACGAAUGUUAAUUGGUCAAGUGAACUUUCAUGAGAAAACCCAGAAUUCGUGGAAAGCUUCUAAAUGAACUUGGGUUUUGCAAACCUUCCUCAUUCUGUAUUCGCUUUUCUCUUGCAUGUUUAAUAAGUUUUGAUGAUAAGCUUAUGUAGAACUUGGGAUUGUUUUUGGUUUGAGAUUAUUGUCGGAAACUUGCCGCAUGAAAUUGCGGAAUUCUCAAAGCAUUAGAAGUUGCAGACAGUUCUUCCAAUUGCAGAAGACUUCGUUGGGUUGCAUGCAUGGAAAUUUCAGAAAAGUUACAUUCUAACCCUUCAAGUUCUCUUUUGUUCUACUAUGGCCCAGAAAAUUGGAAAUUUAAUCAAUUUUGUCCUUUUAAAUUGCUAUUUUUCUUUGGUGUGUUCUAAUAUGAUCAUUUGGAU